This 449-nucleotide ribosomal RNA is filed under the name uncultured Microbacteriaceae bacterium. RNAcentral's name for it is "bacterial SSU rRNA". It matches the Rfam family "Bacterial small subunit ribosomal RNA", at positions 337 to 798 of the family's 1533-position model. Lineage: Bacteria; Bacillati; Actinomycetota; Actinomycetes; Micrococcales; Microbacteriaceae. The record is from RNAcentral.
CCCUACGGGAGGCAGCAGUGGGGAAUAUUGCACAAUGGGCGAAAGCCUGAUGCAGCAACGCCGCGUGAGGGACGACGGCCUUCGGGUUGUAAACCUCUUUUAGUAGGGAAGAAGCGAAAGUGACGGUACCUGCAGAAAAAGCACCGGCUAACUACGUGCCAGCAGCCGCGGUAAUACGUAGGGUGAAAGCGUUAUCCGGAAUUAUUGGGCGUAAAGAGCUCGUAGGCGGUCUGUCGCGUCUGCUGUGAAAACCGGAGGCUCAACCUCCAGCCUGCAGUGGGUACGGGCAGACUAGAGUGCGGUAGGGGAGAUUGGAAUUCCUGGUGUAGCGGUGGAAUGCGCAGAUAUCAGGAGGAACACCGAUGGCGAAGGCAGAUCUCUGGGCCGUAACUGACGCUGAGGAGCGAAAGCGUGGGGAGCGAACAGGAUUAGAUACCCCAGUAGUCCCC